RNAcentral lists this ribosomal RNA (120 nucleotides) under uncultured Nitrospira sp. RNAcentral's name for it is "partial 16S ribosomal RNA". It matches the Rfam family "Bacterial small subunit ribosomal RNA", at positions 1104 to 1223 of the family's 1533-position model. Lineage: Bacteria; Pseudomonadati; Nitrospirota; Nitrospiria; Nitrospirales; Nitrospiraceae. The record is from RNAcentral.
CCUGCUUUCAGUUGCUACCGGGUCACGCCGAGCACUCUGAAAGGACUGCCCAGGAUAACGGGGAGGAAGGUGGGGAUGACGUCAAGUCAGCAUGGCCUUUAUGCCUGGGGCCACACACGU